This 468-nucleotide ribosomal RNA is filed under the name uncultured bacterium. RNAcentral describes it as "partial 16S ribosomal RNA". It matches the Rfam family "Bacterial small subunit ribosomal RNA", at positions 28 to 507 of the family's 1533-position model. The record is from RNAcentral.
GAUGAACGCUGGCGGCGUGCUUAACACAUGCAAGUCGAACGGAAAGGCCCAAGCUUUCUUGGUUACUCGAUUGGCGAACGGGUGAGUAACACGUGGGGGAUCUGCCCUUCACUUCGGGAUAAGCCUUGGAAACUGGGGCGAAUACCGGGGAGGACGAUGUUUUGGGUGCGAUUGUGGAAAGUUUUUGCGUUGUGGGAUGAGGUCGCGGCCUAUCAGCGUUUUGUUGGGGUAAUGGCCUACCAAGGCGUCGACGGGUAGCCGGCAUGCGAGGGUGUAGGGCCACAUCGGACCCCAGAUACAGGCAAGAGUCCGACGGGAGGCAGAAGUGGGGAAUAUCGGACAAUGGGCGCACGCCUGAUGCAGGGACGCCGCGUGGGCGUUGACGGCUGUUGGGUUGUAAACACCUUUCGCUAGGGACGAAGCGUUUUUGUGACGGUACCUGGAGAAGAAGCAACGGCUAACUACGUG